UACGAAGGGGGCUAGCGUUGCUCGGAAUCACUGGGCGUAAAGGGUGCGUAGGCGGGUCUUUAAGUCAGGGGUGAAAUCCUGGAGCUCAACUCCAGAACUGCCUUUGAUACUGAGAGUCUUGAGUUCGGGAGAGGUGAGUGGAACUGCGAGUGUAGAGGUGAAAUUCGUAGAUAUUCGCAAGAACACCAGUGGCGAAGGCGGCUCACUGGCCCGGUACUGACGCUGAGGUGCGAAAGCGUGGGGAGCAAACAGG
This 253-nucleotide ribosomal RNA is filed under the name uncultured bacterium. RNAcentral's name for it is "partial 16S ribosomal RNA". It matches the Rfam family "Bacterial small subunit ribosomal RNA", at positions 524 to 776 of the family's 1533-position model. The record is from RNAcentral.